Gymnodraco acuticeps is the source of this 194-nucleotide long non-coding RNA. RefSeq lists it as uncharacterized. NCBI's taxonomy places the organism in Eukaryota, Metazoa, Chordata, Actinopteri, Perciformes, Bathydraconidae. The record is from RefSeq and is a predicted model, not a curated record. The transcript is spliced from 3 exons.
CUGCACGGCCUGGACAACUUCAAUGGCAUCGCAUGGAUUGAGUUUCUGAACAGCAUGGACAAUUUGGGAGAUAUUCUCUCCCACCUGAGAGAGGGAGACUUGAAGGGUGCACAACUCAUUUGGCUCAGAUAUGAGGGACACAUUGCAGCGGAGUUCGAUGAGAGGAAUCUUAAAGCGGUGCUCGAUGUUAUCCC